UGAGUAGGCGGCUACUUAAGUUUGAGGUUUAAACACAGUGCUCAACGCUGUGGCGCUUCAAAAACUAGGUAGCUAGAGUUAGAUAGAGGCAAGUGGAAUUCCAUGUGUAGCGGUAAAAUGCGUAAAUAUAUGGAGGAACACCAGUGGCGAAGGCGGCUUGCUGGGUCUAUACUGACGCUGAGGCACGAAAGCGUGGGGAGCAAACC
RNAcentral lists this ribosomal RNA (206 nucleotides) under uncultured Acholeplasma sp. RNAcentral's name for it is "partial 16S ribosomal RNA". It matches the Rfam family "Bacterial small subunit ribosomal RNA", at positions 568 to 774 of the family's 1533-position model. Lineage: Bacteria; Bacillati; Mycoplasmatota; Mollicutes; Acholeplasmatales; Acholeplasmataceae. The record is from RNAcentral.